This is a long non-coding RNA of Hypanus sabinus (Atlantic stingray), 677 nucleotides long. RefSeq lists it as uncharacterized. Lineage: Eukaryota; Metazoa; Chordata; Chondrichthyes; Myliobatiformes; Dasyatidae. The record is from RefSeq and is a predicted model, not a curated record. The transcript has 3 exons.
CCUCCGAGCACUGGGGGCGCUGUAUGGACCUCCGACCACUGGUGGUGCUGCGGAGAACAUCCUGAUAAACGCAUGCGCACUGCCGAAAGCAGCUGUCGUUGGCGGUUCACCGACACGAGCGGGGUUAGACCUGCGGUGAGAGAUUUAUUGGAAGAAAAACCCACAACUGGAAGCAAACCACGACUGAAGAUGAGGGAACAGCAGCAAGUGAACCAGCCCGAGGACUGAGAGCACUGACUGGAGAGAAACCCUUCUGACUCAGGAUUUCCAUUGAUUCAGUCAGGAGCAAGUCUGGUUAAAUAUGACAAGGAAUUUGUCUAUGGGAAUCUCGAACACAACACGCCAGUUUUGCUGUCUCUGUCCAGAUAUUUAAGAAGAGGAGCAAGGGAUUCACUCGGUCAUUUCAACUGAAGGUACAUCAGCAAGUUCACACUGGACAAGGCCAUUCACCUGUUGUAAGUGUGAGAAGGGAUCCAGUCAGUUAUCCCACUUGUGGACACACCAGUCAGGUCACACUGGGCAGAGGCUGGUCAUUUGCUGAAUUUGUGGGGAAUGGUUCACUCGAUCAUCUAACCGAAUGGCACACCAGCAUGUUCACACUGGAGAAAUGCCGUUCACCUGCUCAGACUGUGGGAAGGGAUUCACAAAAUCAUCUCAACUACUGAGACACCAGUCAG